This 626-nucleotide ribosomal RNA is filed under the name Hantzschia elongata. RNAcentral describes it as "eukaryotic LSU rRNA". It matches the Rfam family "Eukaryotic large subunit ribosomal RNA", at positions 23 to 671 of the family's 3401-position model. Lineage: Eukaryota; Bacillariophyta; Bacillariophyceae; Bacillariales; Bacillariaceae. The record is from RNAcentral.
ACCCGCUGAAUUUAAGCAUAUCAAUAAGCGGAGGAAAAGAAACCAACAGGGAUUGCCUCAGUAACGGCGAGUGAAGCGGCAACAGCUCAAAUUUGAAAUCUGGCCUCACGGUCCGAGUUGUAAUUUGUAGAGGAUGCUUUUGGCGAGGUGCUUUCCGAGUUCCCUGGAACGGGACGCCAUAGAGGGUGAGAGCCCCGUACGGUAAGACCACCGAGCCUCUGUAAAGCUCCUUCGACGAGUCGAGUAGUUUGGGAAUGCUGCUCUAAAUGGGAGGUGUACGUCUUCUAAAGCUAAAUACCGGCCAGAGACCGAUAGCGCACAAGUAGAGUGAUCGAAAGAUGAAAAGCACUUUGAAAAGAGGGUCAAAAAGUACGUGAAAUUGUUGAAAGGGAAGCAUUCAUGACCAGACUUGGGCUUGGUUGAACAUCCGGCGUUCUCGCCGGUGCACUCUGCUAGUCCAGGCCAGCAUCAGUUUGCCCCGGGGGACGAAGGCGGUGGGAAUGUGGCUCUCUUCGGGGAGUGUUAUAGCCCGCCGUGUAAUGCCCUGGGGCGGACUGAGGAACGCGCUUCGGCACGGAUGCUGGCGUAAUGGUCAUCAAUGACCCGUCUUGAAACACGGACCAAGG